This 253-nucleotide ribosomal RNA is filed under the name uncultured bacterium. RNAcentral's name for it is "partial 16S ribosomal RNA". It matches the Rfam family "Bacterial small subunit ribosomal RNA", at positions 524 to 776 of the family's 1533-position model. The record is from RNAcentral.
UACGGGGGGGGCAAGCGUUGUUCGGAAUUACUGGGCGUAAAGGGCUCGUAGGCGGCCAACUAAGUCGGAUGUGAAAUCCCCAGGCUUAACCUGGGAACUGCAUCCGAUACUGGUUGGCUUGAAUCCGGGAGAGGGAUGCAGAAUUCCAGGUGUAGCGGUGAAAUGCGUAGAUAUCUGGAGGAAUACCGGUGGCGAAGGCGGCAUCCUGGACCGGCAUUGACGCUGAUGAGCGAAAGCUAGGGGAGCAAACGGG